Molecule: ribosomal RNA, 484 nt
Filed under: uncultured bacterium
Lineage: Bacteria
Description: partial 16S ribosomal RNA
Rfam family: Bacterial small subunit ribosomal RNA
Source: RNAcentral
AUUGAACGCUGGCGGCAGGCCUAACACAUGCAAGUCGAGCGGAUGAAGGGAGCUUGCUCCUCGAUUCAGCGGCGGACGGGUGAGUAAGUCCUAGGUAGCUGCCUGGUAGUGGGGGAUAGCGUCCGGUUACGGGCGCUAAUACCGCAUACGUCCUGAGGGAGAAAGUUGGGGAUCUUCGGACCUCGCGCUAUCAGCUGAGCCUAGGUCGGAUUAGCUAGUUGGUGGGGUAAAUGCCUACCAAGGCGACGAUCCGUAACUGGUCUGAGAGGAUGAUCAGUCACACUGGAACUGAGCCACGGUCCAGACUCCUACGGGAGGCAGCAGUGGGGAAUAUUGGACAAUGGGCGAAAGCCUGAUCCAGCCAUGCCGCGUGUGUGAAGAAGGUCUUCGGAUUGUAAAGAACUUUAAGUUGGGAGGAAGGGCAGUAAGUUAAUACCUUGAUGUUUUGACGUUACCAACAGAAUAAGCACCGGCUAACUUCGUG